RNAcentral lists this transfer RNA (79 nucleotides) under Paraburkholderia caffeinilytica. Its description in RNAcentral is "tRNA-Ser". Lineage: Bacteria; Pseudomonadati; Pseudomonadota; Betaproteobacteria; Burkholderiales; Burkholderiaceae. The record is from RNAcentral.
CCCGUGGCGGUCAGGCCGAUCAGGGUGGACGCCUGCUGGGCCUCCUGGACGACCUGCGGUUCGAAUCCGCGCUUCGCGC